UUAAAUCAGUUAUCGUUUAUUUGAUAGUACCUUACUACUUGGAUAACCGUGGUAAUUCUAGAGCUAAUACAUGCUAAAAACCCCGACUUCGGGAGGGGUGUAUUUAUUAGAUAAAAAACCAAUGCCCUUCGGGGCUCCUUGGUGAUUCAUAAUAACUUCUCAGAUCGCAUGGCCUUGCGCCGGCGACGGUUCAUUCAAAUUUCUGCCCUAUCAACUUUCGAUGGUAAGGUAUUGGCUUACCAUGGUUUCAACGGGUAACGGGGAAUUAGGGUUCGAUUCCGGAGAGGGAGCCUGAGAAACGGCUACCACAUCCAAGGAAGGCAGCAGGCGCGCAAAUUACCCAAUCCCGACACGGGGAGGUAGUGACAAUAAAUACUGAUACAGGGCUCUUUAGGGUCUUGUAAUUGGAAUGAGUACAAUUUAAACCUCUUAACGAGGAACAAUUGGAGGGCAAGUCUGGUGCCAGCAGCCGCGGUAAUUCCAGCUCCAAUAGCGUAUAUUAAAGUUGUUGCAGUUAAAAAGCUCGUAGUUGAACCUUUGGCCUGGCUGGCGGGUCCGCCUCACCGCGUGCACUCGUCCGGCCGGGCCUUUUCUUCUGGAGAACCGCAUGCCCUUCACUGGGUGUGUUGGGGACCAGGACUUUUACUUUGAAAAAAUUAGAGUGUUCAAAGCAGGCCUUUGCUCGAAUACGUUAGCAUGGAAUAAUAGAAUAGGACGUGCGGUCCUAUUUUGUUGGUUUCUAGGACCGCCGUAAUGAUUAAUAGGGACAGUCGGGGGCAUCAGUAUUCAAUUGUCAGAGGUGAAAUUCUUGGAUUUAUUGAAGACUAACUACUGCGAAAGCAUUUGCCAAGGAUGUUUUCAUUAAUCAGUGAACGAAAGUUAGGGGAUCGAAGACGAUCAGAUACCGUCGUAGUCUUAACCAUAAACUAUGCCGACUAGGGAUCGGGCGGUGUUAUUAUUUUGACUCGCUCGGCACCUUACGAGAAAUCAAAGUGUUUGGGUUCUGGGGGGAGUAUGGUC
Molecule: ribosomal RNA, 1020 nt
Filed under: Periconia chimonanthi
Lineage: Eukaryota; Fungi; Ascomycota; Dothideomycetes; Pleosporales; Periconiaceae
Description: SSU rRNA
Rfam family: Eukaryotic small subunit ribosomal RNA
Source: RNAcentral